AUGCAGUCGAGCGGUAACAGGGGUAGCUUGCUACCCGCUGACGAGCGGCGGACGGGUGAGUAAUGCAUAGGAAUCUGCCCGAUAGUGGGGGAUAACCUGGGGAAACCCAGGCUAAUACCGCAUACGUCCUACGGGAGAAAGGGGGCUCCGGCUCCCGCUAUUGGAUGAGCCUAUGUCGGAUUAGCUAGUUGGUGAGGUAAUGGCUCACCAAGGCAACGAUCCGUAGCUGGUCUGAGAGGAUGAUCAGCCACAUCGGGACUGAGACACGGCCCGAACUCCUACGGGAGGCAGCAGUGGGGAAUAUUGGACAAUGGGCGAAAGCCUGAUCCAGCCAUGCCGCGUGUGUGAAGAAGGCCUUCGGGUUGUAAAGCACUUUCAGCGAGGAAGAACGCCUAGUGGUUAAUACCCAUUAGGAAAGACAUCACUCGCAGAAGAAGCACCGGCUAACUCCGUGCCAGCAGCCGCGGUAAUACGGAGGGUGCAAGCGUUAAUCGGAAUUACUGGGCGUAAAGCGCGCGUAGGUGGCUUGAUAAGCCGGUUGUGAAAGCCCCGGGCUCAACCUGGGAACGGCAUCCGGAACUGUCAAGCUAGAGUGCAGGAGAGGAAGGUAGAAUUCCCGGUGUAGCGGUGAAAUGCGUAGAGAUCGGGAGGAAUACCAGUGGCGAAGGCGGCCUUCUGGACUGACACUGACACUGAGGUGCGAAAGCGUGGGUAGCAAACAGGAUUAGAUACCCUGGUAGUCCACGCCGUAAACGAUGUCGACCAGCCGUUGGGUGCCUAGCGCACUUUGUGGCGAAGUUAACGCGAUAAGUCGACCGCCUGGGGAGUACGGCCGCAAGGUUAAAACUCAAAUGAAUUGACGGGGGCCCGCACAAGCGGUGGAGCAUGUGGUUUAAUUCGAUGCAACGCGAAGAACCUUACCUACUCUUGACAUCCUGCGAACUUGUGAGAGAUCACUUGGUGCCUUCGGGAACGCAGAGACAGGUGCUGCAUGGCUGUCGUCAGCUCGUGUUGUGAAAUGUUGGGUUAAGUCCCGUAACGAGCGCAACCCUUGUCCUUAUUUGCCACCGGGUAAUGCCGGGAACUCUAAAGAGACUGCCGGUGACAAA
This 1109-nucleotide ribosomal RNA is filed under the name Halomonas campaniensis. Its description in RNAcentral is "bacterial SSU rRNA". It matches the Rfam family "Bacterial small subunit ribosomal RNA", at positions 55 to 1162 of the family's 1533-position model. The record is from RNAcentral. Lineage: Bacteria; Pseudomonadati; Pseudomonadota; Gammaproteobacteria; Oceanospirillales; Halomonadaceae.